AUCUAGCCAUGGGCAGGUUGAAGGUUGGGUAACACUAACUGGAGGACCGAACCGACUAAUGUUGAAAAAUUAGCGGAUGACCUGUGGCUGGGGGUGAAAGGCCAAUCAAACCGGGAGAUAGCUGGUUCUCCCCGAAAGCUAUUUAGGUAGCGCCUCGUGAAUUCAUCUCCGGGGGUAGAGCACUGUUUCGGCUAGGGGGCCAUCCCGGCUUACCAACCCGAUGCAAACUGCGAAUACCGGAGAAUGUUAUCACGGGAGACACACGGCGGGUGCUAACGUCCGUCGUGAAGAGGGAAACAACCCAGACCGCCAGCUAAGGUCCCAAAGUCAUGGUUAAGUGGGAAACGAUGUGGGAAGGCCCAGACAGCCAGGAUGUUGGCUUAGAAGCAGCCAUCAUUUAAAGAAAGCGUAAUAGCUCACUGGUCGAGUCGGCCUGCGCGGAAGAUGUAACGGGGCUAAACCAUGCACCGAAGCUGCGGCAGCGAACGUAUCACC
RNAcentral lists this ribosomal RNA (495 nucleotides) under Salmonella enterica. RNAcentral's name for it is "partial 23S ribosomal RNA". It matches the Rfam family "Bacterial large subunit ribosomal RNA", at positions 728 to 1221 of the family's 2925-position model. Lineage: Bacteria; Pseudomonadati; Pseudomonadota; Gammaproteobacteria; Enterobacterales; Enterobacteriaceae. The record is from RNAcentral.